Long non-coding RNA from Aplysia californica (California sea hare), 1212 nucleotides. RefSeq lists it as uncharacterized. The record is from RefSeq and is a predicted model, not a curated record. The transcript has 2 exons. NCBI's taxonomy places the organism in Eukaryota, Metazoa, Mollusca, Gastropoda, Aplysiida, Aplysiidae.
AAGGAAGAUGAACCAGCUUCUUGAGAAACUGAUCCCUUUUUAUUUCGCUUGAACUUUAUUGGCUUCUGUUCUGCUGUUACGGAUGUUGCAUUUCCAAGAUCAGAAAUUGGCCUCCUGAAAAAAAGUUUGUUUUCUUGUUUGAGAAAAGACGAGUACAUGGACACAUUUACAGCAGGGAAAUAGUAAGAGUAAGACAGACAGAAACAAUAACAACAUAGGAAAGAAAAGGAGUAAGACCUUCUAGUAUCUCCCUCCAACCACCUGCCUAAAAUAAAGAUUCUAUAACAACAGUAUUUUUCUCUAACUGUGAAACUGAAAAAAUCGGGUAAACACUGAUUCGUUGUUUAAAUGGGUCAAAAGCCAUUUCUGCAUGUUUUCUAUUUAUAUGGGAGGCCAUCAUGCACUAUAAACAUCCCAAACCGUCAUGUGUUGUAAUCGCGCCUAGACAAAAGUACAGCCUCACUCUCUCACUCUAUCCAUGUAACUGGAAACAUGCUGAAGUUCACGUCGGAGCACAACAAUUCGUCUUCCUAUGCAACAAUUUACGCCCAAAAGCAAAGGGUACAAAUCUAUAGCUAAGGAGAACCCAUAAUGGAACAAGAUCUUGAGAAAAAAGGGACAUUCCAAAGUUCAAGAAAACAUGUUGAUUGAGAUAUCGAGCCCAUACCAAGUGAAGGUAUUGAAGUAAGGUAUUGGAGUAGAGGACAUGGGAAGAGAAGACAGAUAAGAAGCGUGUGUUAUGAAAGGCAAAAUAAUGACCAACAGCAAGUCAGCAGACUUCCAGUUAGCUCAGGUGCUCAAUUUGCCAACUGGAGAGGUCAACGAUGUUAGUGGAGACAAAAAUUUAAAGAGACAGAGAUCGGGUGGCACAAGAUAUAGAUGGUCUGGGGUAUUUAAACCAAGUCUUUGGCAGAGGAAGAAAGCCUGCAGCCUUUGGAAACAGUCUCAAAUUAAGGGCACAGAGCCCAUAACGGAACAUGAUCUUGAACAAGUGGAAUGUUCCCAAGCUCAAGAAAACACGUUGAUUGAGACUGAACGCUCACCAAAUGAAGGUAUUAAAGUUUAAGUAGAGGUCAUCAGAAGGGAAGACACUGAUGUAACUUUAGAAAUGGAGACCAUACACAAAGCGCAUGGAACAAAGGGGAAGCAAAAAGCUAGUAGAGAAACAUGGACAAAAGAAAAUAAUAAGAAAAAAGAGAAAAAGGUCAGGAA